This 1706-nucleotide ribosomal RNA is filed under the name Bipalium trilineatum. RNAcentral's name for it is "SSU rRNA". It matches the Rfam family "Eukaryotic small subunit ribosomal RNA". The record is from RNAcentral. Lineage: Eukaryota; Metazoa; Platyhelminthes; Tricladida; Geoplanidae.
AAGCCAUCGAUGUCUAAGUACACAGACUAGUACUCUGAAACCGCGGAUGGCUCAUUAUAACAGCUAUGAUUUGCACGAGAUUUAAUCUUUAUUGCUACAAGAUAACUGUGGUAAUUCUAGAGCUAAUAUUUAUCUGAAUGCCGUGACUUGGNCGGAAGCGGCGGAUUUACUAGAUCAAAACCAAUCUGCCUGAAAGGCGGUAUUUGGAUGACUCUGGAUAACUUUAACUGAUCGUACGACCUUGUGUUGACUACAUAUCUCUUGAAGUGGCUGACCUAUCAACUUUCGAUGGUAAAGUCAAAGUUUACCAUGGUUGUCAACGGGUAACGGGGAAUCAGUGUUCGAUUCCGGAGAGGGAGCCUGAGAAACUGCUACCACAUCCUCGGAAGGCAGCAGGCGCGCAAAUUACCCAAUACCGGCUCGGUGAGGUAGUGACAAUAAAUAACAAUAUGGGCCCUAGUGGUUUCAUAAUUGCAAUGAGAACAUUUUAAAUACUUUAUCGAGAUACAAUUGGAGGGCAAGUCUGGUGCCAGCAGCCGCGUAAUUCCAGCUCCAAUAGCGUAUAUUAAAGUUGUUGCAGUUAAAAAGCUCGUAGUUGAAAUUGGGACGGAUUUGGGCUUGCGGUCCGAUGUCGUCGGCUUACUGCUCGUCUAGAUCUACCCGCCGGUCUUCCCCCGGUGCUCUUAGCUGAGUGCCUCGGGUUACCGGAAAGUUUACUUUGAAAAAAUUAGAGUGUUCAAGGCAGGCACUCCGCUUGAAUAAUGGUGCAUGGAAUAAUGGAAUAGGACCUCGGUUCUAUUUUGUUGGUUUUCGGAACUUGAGGUAAUGAUUAAGAGGGACGGACGGGGGCAUUCGUAUUACGGUGUUAGAGGUGAAAUUCUAGGAUCGCCGUAAGACGAACGCAGCGAAAGCUUUGCCAAGAAUGUUUCCCUUAAUCAAGAACGAAAGUCAGAGGAUCGAAGACGAUCAGAUACCGUCCUAGUUCUGACCAUAAACGAUGCCAACUAGCAAUCCGCCGGCGUUGCUUCGUUGACUCUGCGGGCAGCUUCCGGGAAACCAAAGUCUUUGGGUUCCGGGGGAAGUAUGGUUGCAAAGCUGAAACUUAAAGGAAUUGACGGAAGGGCACCACCAGGAGUGGAGCCUGCGCUUAAUUUGACUCAACACGGGAAAACUCACCCGGCCCGGACACUGGAAGGAUUGACAGAUUGAGAGCUCUUUCUUGAUUCGGUGGGUGGUGGUGCAUGGCCGUUCUUAGUUGGUGGAGCGAUUUGUCUGGUUAAUUCCGAUAACGAACGAGACUCUAGCCUAUUAAAUAGUUCACCGAUCACGAUUCGUCGGUGCCAACUUCUUAGAGGGACUAGUGGCAAACAAGCCACACGAGAUUGAGCAAUAACAGGUCUGUGAUGCCCUUAGAUGUUCGGGGCCGCACGCGCGCUACACUGAAGGAAUCAACGUGCGUCUUCCCUUGUCCGAGAGGAUUGGGUAACCCGUUGAUACCUCCUUCGUGCUGGGAUUGGCCAUUGUAAUUAUUGAUCGUGAACGAGGAAUUCCUAGUAAGCGUAAGUCAUUAGCUUGCGCUGGCUAUGUCCCUGCCCUUUGUACACACCGCCCGUCGCAUCAAUCGAUUGGAUGAUUCGGUGAAUGGUUCGGAUCGGGUUACAGCUAGCAAUAGUUGAACCUGAGAAGACAUGCUANNCCAAUUUUUA